GGGGAUGUGGUCCAACGGAAAGAUACUACUGUUCUUGCGUCUAUCGCCGGGACGGUAGUGAUGCCUGUUCGAUUCCGGCCUUCUCCA
Elasticomyces elasticus is the source of this 87-nucleotide non-coding RNA. NCBI's taxonomy places the organism in Eukaryota, Fungi, Ascomycota, Dothideomycetes, Mycosphaerellales, Teratosphaeriaceae. The record is from the annotation of a GenBank genome assembly.